This 497-nucleotide ribosomal RNA is filed under the name uncultured bacterium. RNAcentral describes it as "partial 16S ribosomal RNA". It matches the Rfam family "Bacterial small subunit ribosomal RNA", at positions 29 to 507 of the family's 1533-position model. The record is from RNAcentral.
AGUGAACGCUGGCGGCGGGCCUAAUACAUGCAAGUCGAGCGAACGCACGAGAAGAUUGUUUCUCUGAUGUUAGCGAGGGACGGGUGGGUAACGCGUAGAUAACCUACCUUUAUGACUGGGAUAAUCUCGGGAAACCGUAGCCAAUACCGGCUAAUACUAUCAACGGCAGGGUUCAGAAGUUAAAGGCGGUCUUGCCGGCACUGUUAGAUGGAUCCGCUCUGCAUUAGCUAGUUGGUGAGGUAACGGCUUACCAAGGCAACGAUGCAUAGCCGACCUGAGAGGAUGAUCAGCCACACUGGAACUGAGACACGGUCCAGACUCCUACGGGAGGCAGCAGUAGGGAAUCUUGCGCAAUGGGCGCAGGCCUGACGGAGCCACGCCGCGUGAGUGAUGAAGGCCUUCGGAUUGUAAAACUCUGUUAUUAGGGAAGAACAUAUGUGUGAGAAACUCUUCACAUCCUGACGGUACCCAAUCAGAAAGCCACGGCUAACUCCGUG